AUUUUAAAGGACAGCCCUCUGCUGCAAAGAGAGUCGACCAGGAGAGCUCAGAGGUUCCCAGUGGUCAGUCUGCCCAGCAGCAU
This is a long non-coding RNA of Siniperca chuatsi (mandarin fish), 83 nucleotides long. RefSeq lists it as uncharacterized. The record is from RefSeq and is a predicted model, not a curated record. Lineage: Eukaryota; Metazoa; Chordata; Actinopteri; Centrarchiformes; Sinipercidae. The transcript is spliced from 2 exons.